UGGAACAGGGUCCUUCCCACAGC
Molecule: unclassified non-coding RNA, 23 nt
Filed under: Mus musculus (house mouse)
Lineage: Eukaryota; Metazoa; Chordata; Mammalia; Rodentia; Muridae
Description: oocyte_clustered_small_RNA13346
Source: RNAcentral